This 253-nucleotide ribosomal RNA is filed under the name uncultured bacterium. RNAcentral describes it as "partial 16S ribosomal RNA". It matches the Rfam family "Bacterial small subunit ribosomal RNA", at positions 524 to 776 of the family's 1533-position model. The record is from RNAcentral.
UACGUAGGUGGCAAGCGUUGUCCGGAUUUACUGGGCGUAAAGAGCGCGCAGGCGGUCGUUCAAGUCGCGUGUGAAAGCCCCCGGCUCAACUGGGGAGGGUCACGCGAUACUGAUCGACUCGAAGGCAGGAGAGGGUAGUGGAAUUCCCGGUGUAGUGGUGAAAUGCGUAGAUAUCGGGAGGAACACCAGUGGCGAAGGCGGCCACCUGGGUCAGUUCUGACGCUCAGACACGACAGCAUGGGGAGCGAACGGG